RNAcentral lists this ribosomal RNA (356 nucleotides) under Leucobacter aridicollis. RNAcentral's name for it is "bacterial SSU rRNA". It matches the Rfam family "Bacterial small subunit ribosomal RNA", at positions 376 to 736 of the family's 1533-position model. The record is from RNAcentral. Lineage: Bacteria; Bacillati; Actinomycetota; Actinomycetes; Micrococcales; Microbacteriaceae.
CGCAAGCCUGAUGCAGCAACGCCGCGUGAGGGAUGACGGCCUUCGGGUUGUAAACCUCUUUUAGUAGGGAAGAAGCGAAAGUGACGGUACCUGCAGAAAAAGCACCGGCUAACUACGUGCCAGCAGCCGCGGUAAUACGUAGGGUGCAAGCGUUGUCCGGAAUUAUUGGGCGUAAAGAGCUCGUAGGCGGCUUGUCGCGUCUGCUGUGAAAUCCCGGGGCUCAACCCCGGGCCUGCAGUGGGUACGGGCAAGCUAGAGUGCGGUAGGGGAGAUUGGAAUUCCUGGUGUAGCGGUGGAAAUGCCCCAAAUAUCNAGGAGGGAACACCGAAUUGGCCCAAAGGCAGAANUNUUUUUGG